RNAcentral lists this ribosomal RNA (229 nucleotides) under uncultured bacterium. RNAcentral's name for it is "partial 16S ribosomal RNA". It matches the Rfam family "Bacterial small subunit ribosomal RNA", at positions 568 to 796 of the family's 1533-position model. The record is from RNAcentral.
UGCGUAGGUGGAUCAAUAAGUUGGAAUUUAAAUCCCGCAGCCUAACUGCGGACCUGGUUCCAAAACUGUUGGUCUUGAGUUCGAAAGAGGGGAGUGGAAUUCCUAGUGUAGCGGUGGAAUGCGUAGAUAUUAGGAGGAACACCAGUGGCGAAGGCGGCUCUCUGGUUCGAUACUGACACUAAGGCACGAAAGCGUGGGGAGCAAACAGGAUUAGAUACCCUGGUAGUCC